GCCGGCGUGGCGGAAUUGGCAGACGCACAGGACUUAAAAUCCUGCGGGGUCAAACCCGUACCGGUUCAAGUCCGGUCGCCGGCA
This 84-nucleotide transfer RNA is filed under the name Anaerosporobacter mobilis DSM 15930. It matches the Rfam family "tRNA". Rfam says of the family: Transfer RNA (tRNA) molecules are approximately 80 nucleotides in length. Their secondary structure includes four short double-helical elements and three loops (D, anti-codon, and T loops). RNAcentral also lists the same sequence under 3 other names. The record is from Rfam by way of RNAcentral. Lineage: Bacteria; Bacillati; Bacillota; Clostridia; Lachnospirales; Lachnospiraceae.